UACGGAGGGUGCAAGCGUUAUCCGGAUUCACUGGGUUUAAAGGGAGCGUAGGUGGGUCUGCAAGUCAGUUGUGAAAUCUCCGAGCUUAACUCGGAAAGGUCAACUGAUACUGCUCGGCUAGAGUGCGGAAGGGGCAACUGGAAUUCUUGGUGUAGCGGUGAAAUGCGUAGAUAUCAAGAGGAACACCUGCGGCGAAGGCGGGUUGCUGGGCCGACACUGACGCUGAGGCGCGAAAGCUAGGGGAGCGAACGGG
Molecule: ribosomal RNA, 253 nt
Filed under: uncultured bacterium
Lineage: Bacteria
Description: partial 16S ribosomal RNA
Rfam family: Bacterial small subunit ribosomal RNA
Source: RNAcentral